UACAGAGGUCCCAAGCGUUGUUCGGAUUCAUUGGGCGUAAAGGGUGCGUAGGUGGCGCUGUAAGUCGGGUGUGAAAUUUCGGAGCUUAACUCCGAAACUGCAUUCGAUACUGCGGUGCUUGAGGACUGGAGAGGAGACUGGAAUUCAUGGUGUAGCAGUGAAAUGCGUAGAGAUCAUGAGGAAGACCAGUGGCGAAGGCGGCUCACUGGCCCGGUUCUGACGCUGAGGUGCGAAAGCCAGGGGAGCAAACAGG
Molecule: ribosomal RNA, 253 nt
Filed under: uncultured bacterium
Lineage: Bacteria
Description: partial 16S ribosomal RNA
Rfam family: Bacterial small subunit ribosomal RNA
Source: RNAcentral